Dermacentor silvarum is the source of this 410-nucleotide long non-coding RNA. RefSeq lists it as uncharacterized. The record is from RefSeq and is a predicted model, not a curated record. NCBI's taxonomy places the organism in Eukaryota, Metazoa, Arthropoda, Arachnida, Ixodida, Ixodidae. The transcript has 3 exons.
UGGCGCGAGGCGCGAACGACGAGGUCAAACCGCAUCAAGAACGUUGAGAGAGUGUGCGCUCAGAACGUCUCGCCGCCAAGCACCGACAAUUCUUCACCGCCACCUUUCGUUCAAAGCCAGGAGUGAAUCCUCUCCCGGCAUCAUGGAAACAGCUAGGCGAGUGGUUGGACCCUUGGUGGUGUUUCUCUAUCUCGGACAUCUCCUGGCGACGAUACCGUCCAUCGACACUUCCAACUGCAGUGACACAAAGGCGAUGGUGUAUACCAAGUUCCAGCCUCCUCUGUCCAUCAGCGGGCGGAAACGGAGGGACGCCAGCGGUCUAGAGGCGGCUGCGAUGAUGUUGCACCGAGGUGUCGGAACCAUGCUGACGUCAACAGAGAUACCCCAACGUACACGUGAUGAAUCUUGAU